Molecule: long non-coding RNA, 1049 nt
Filed under: Mytilus galloprovincialis (Mediterranean mussel)
Lineage: Eukaryota; Metazoa; Mollusca; Bivalvia; Mytilida; Mytilidae
Source: RNAcentral
AUCUUCUAAUUUUUGUCGAGCCUGCAACUUUUGUUGCAGAAAGCUCGACAUAGGGAUAGUGAUCCGGCGGCGGCGGCGGCGGCGGCGGCGGCGGCGGUGUUAGCUCACUUCUUAAAAGCUUUAUAUUUUAGAAGGUGGAAGACCUGGAUGCUUCAUACUUUGUAUAUAGAUGCCUCAUAUUACGAAGUUUCCGUCAGUCACAUGUCCAAUGUCCUUGACCUCAUUUUCAUGGUUCAGUGACCACUUGAAAAAAAAGUUCAGAUUUUUUGUAAUGUUGAAUUCUCUCUUAUUAUAAGUAAUAGGAUAACUAUAUUUGGUAUGUGCGUACCUUGCAAGGUCUUCAUGCCCGUCAGACAGUUUUCACUUGACCUCGACCUCAUUUCAUGGCUCAGUGAACAAAGUUAAGUUUUGGUGGUCAAGUCCAUAUCUCAGAUACUAUAAGCAAUAGGGCUAGUAUAUUCGGUGUAUGGAAGGACUGUAAGGUGUACAUGUCCAACUGGCAGGUGUCAUCUGACCUUGACCUCAUUUUCAUGGUUCAGUGGUUAUAGUUAAGUUUUUGUGUUUUGGUCUGUUUUUCUCAUACUUUAUGCAAUAGGUCUACUAUAUUUGUUGUAUGGAAUGAUUGUAAGGUGAUCAUGUCUAGCGGACAGAUGUCAUCUGACCUUGACCUCAUUUUCAUGGUUCAGUGGUCAAAGUUAAGUUUUUCAGUUUUGGUCUUUUUAUCUGAUACUAUACGCCUUAGGUCAACUAUAUUUAGUGUAUGGAAAUAUUAAAUGAUUUAUAUAUUAGUCGUGCAGGUUUUAUUUGACCUUGACCUCAUUUUCACUGUUCAUUGCUCAGUGUUAAGUUUUUGUGUUUUGGUCUAUUUUUCUUAAACUAUAAGUAUUAGGUCAACUAUAUUUGUUUUAUGGAAGCAUUGUUAGCUGUACAUGUCAGCCUGGCAUGGUUCAUCUGACCUUGACCUCAUUUUCAUGGUUCAUUGGUCUUUGUUUAGUUAUCUUGGUUAAUGUAACGUUUAUGUGACAGUUGUAAUAAAGCUUUAUACUUAG